RNAcentral lists this ribosomal RNA (465 nucleotides) under uncultured bacterium. RNAcentral describes it as "bacterial SSU rRNA". It matches the Rfam family "Bacterial small subunit ribosomal RNA", at positions 338 to 795 of the family's 1533-position model. The record is from RNAcentral.
CCUACGGGAUGCAGCAGUGGGGAAUAUUGCACAAUGGGCGCAAGCCUGAUGCAGCCAUGCCGCGUGUAUGAAGAAGGCCUUCGGGUUGUAAAGUACUUUCAGCGAGGAGGAAGGCAUUGUGGUUAGUAACCACAGUGAUUGACGUUACUCGCAGAAGAAGCACCGGCUAACUCCGUGCCAGCAGCCGCGGUAAUACGGAGGGUGCAAGCGUUAAUCGGAAUUACUGGGCGUAAAGCGCACGCAGGCGGUCUGUCAAGUCGGAUGUGAAAUCCCCGGGCUCAACCUGGGAACUGCAUUCGAAACUGGCAGGCUAGAGUCUUGUAGAGGGGGGUAGAAUUCCAGGUGUAGCGGUGAAAUGCGUAGAGAUCUGGAGGAAUACCGGUGGCGAAGGCGGCCCCCUGGACAAAGACUGACGCUCAGGUGCGAAAGCGUGGGGAGCAAACAGGAUUAGAUACCCUCGUAGUC